AGAAAAUGGGCAGAUUUAGGGCAGGUUGAAGUUUUAAAUGCAGCAACCACAUCACCCACAGCCCACUCCUACCAGCACCGGCCGCCAGCAGCCACAUCCGAGGCCGGGGCGAGUGCCAAGCACGCGGCUCUUCCCUGGGCAUCGCCCCCAAAAGGCUCCGGUUGCGACACGGGGCAGAUCCGGCAGCCCCGGGCACGUCCCGUCCCCUCCCAGCGGAGCUGCGGGAGCCGGCAGCGCCUGUCUGUCUGUCCGUCUGUCUGUGCAGGACUGUGCUCGGCCAGCCAUGGGCUCGGCCAGGCUCGUGGUCAUCCUGGGGCUCGCAGCGCUGCUGCCCGCGGAUGCUGCGCCCUGCGGAGCGCAGCGCCCCGACGGCUCCACGGCCUCCAAGCUGCCGGGGAUGUGGCUGUACGUGGCAGGGGCUGCCCAGUUCCCCCAGCACCAGGUGGAGAUGCUGCUCAUCGACCACGCCUUCCUGCGCCUGGAGCCCGGUGCCAGCGGGCAGGAGCUGCUCAUCAGCCACUACGUGGCCGUGGGGGACCAAUGUUUUACCAACAACCUCACCUACCUGGAAGUCACUGCUGGCAACGCCACGCUGGUGAAGGACGCCAAUACCCAGAAAACUGAGGGGAUGCUGAUGAACAUGAGCUCUGAAAACCUUUUGCUCAUCCAGUACCAAAUGCAGAAGGAAAGGACGUAUUUGGGGCAGUAUCUCUACGCCCGGAGCCUGAGCAUAAGCACAGCUGACAAGGAGGAAUUUGAGCAGCACGCCGAGUGCCUGGGGCUGCGGGCAGAGCAGAUCGUUUAUGCACCAUGGAAAACGGAGGUGUGUCAAGUGAAAGUAGCCAAAGGCAGCGACAGCCCACACGCCGAGCCUGUGGCUGCAGUCACAGCAUCACCUGCUCCAGCUACUCCCUGGCCUGGGAGUGCAGGGAACUGACCCCACACAGGGCAAUAAACAUUUCCUUCAAACUACA
Molecule: long non-coding RNA, 974 nt
Filed under: Chloebia gouldiae (Gouldian finch)
Lineage: Eukaryota; Metazoa; Chordata; Aves; Passeriformes; Passeridae
Description: Erythrura gouldiae (Gouldian finch) lncRNA (ENSEGOG00005007337.1)
Source: RNAcentral